GACAAACACCAAUCAAAACAUCAAAUAAAUCUAGGGGUGGUUAAUUUUUUUUCUACAUGUUGUCACUUUGUGAUUAUGUUUCAAUUCUAUUAAUUAAACAUAGAAGUUGGAAGUGAUAGCAAUAAAAAUAAAAAAAUAAAAAUUGCAAUCACUUAAAAAGUGACAAACAUUUUCGAGCCCAUUUGUGGAUGGAACCACCAAUAUUAUCUUGCCAACUCUACAAAUUCUCUUCUCAAACUUCAUGUGUGUGCAAAGCACUUCAAUUGUUCUUAUAUCUGCACAAAUGAUUAUAAGCAUUGCCAAGAAUGAAAGCACUGUAAAUUUAACAGCUCAAUGUUCGCUAAAAGUGCAU
This 352-nucleotide long non-coding RNA is filed under the name Olea europaea (common olive). Its description in RNAcentral is "long non-coding RNA (OEUR_LNC014992)". Lineage: Eukaryota; Viridiplantae; Streptophyta; Magnoliopsida; Lamiales; Oleaceae. The record is from RNAcentral.